This 228-nucleotide long non-coding RNA is filed under the name Elaeis guineensis (African oil palm). RNAcentral describes it as "long non-coding RNA (EGUI_LNC048452)". Lineage: Eukaryota; Viridiplantae; Streptophyta; Magnoliopsida; Arecales; Arecaceae. The record is from RNAcentral.
UACCAAUUCGAUUAAAAUAGUGAGAGAAUCUUUAGACUAAAGUCUAUAUCUUUAGGCUUAAUCAAUUCAUAUAUUAAUUAAAUUUUGAUUUUUUUUUACAGUUAUGGCCACCAACUUGUCGCUCCGAUCGCUGUUAGACAGUGAUAAAUUGAGAAGACUCAAUUUCGAUAGUUGAUAUUGAAAAUUGAAGAUAGUCCUAGAGCACAAGCAAAUUUUGUACAUGCUGAC